CAUAAAACAAUAGGAAUUUCCAGAGUCCUGAUUAAAUUACUGGCGUCUGUUUCCCUUACGUUGGCCAACAGAAAGCGUUUCAUUAUGAAGGUAAGACGCUUCCUUGCCGUUGCCUGAAUUUCUUCCACAAAGCUUAGGGUUAUCAUUUGUCCACUCUUAAAGUGCCAGCACGGUUUUCUGAUAUCUGCUCUUUCAUUUCAAUUUAGACGUUUUUGAUGGCAUACUUGUCUUCUACAGGUUUAAAUUACAUACAAGCCAUGCGUUUGGAUGAGCAUGAGUUCUCUGGAACAGCAUAGUGCCUACUAUGUAGUUAGGAAAGCUUAGUCAUGUGGUUUCAGGAUUUGGAGGUUUCACUAUGGUCUGUUUUUGCUCUCUGUUCAAGCUCUAAUUCCCUUCUGCAGGCACCCCCCUCUCUGUGCAUAGCUGAAGCAAAAGCCAGAGUUUUGAUUUUAGUGAAGGCUGAAGCCUACUUAUUUUGUCAAGAAGUUGUAAGCGUGAUCGCUGCACUCCUGCCUUCCUUGCAAAGGACACCCCGGAGAGAGCAACAAAUAGAAAAAAAAGAGAGCUUCCCAGCACGAGGAACCCUGGGAUACUUAUCUGCGUGCUUGACCCAGUGCAAAAAUACUGACAGCCAGGCUGUGUUUUGGCCUCAGCAUGGCUCCUGGCUGCCUGGUCUGGGCUAUUUCAGUCUGCGAGGGUACUCUGCAAAGCGGAGAAAAGAAGCCAAGGAUGAAAAGGGAAAUGACUGGUCUACUGUUGCAUUGGGAGGCUGUGCUAGGACACAGAAGAUUCAGAAGCCCGAGAUUCCUAGCACAGGAGGCAAUAACCUCGCACUGUCUCGGAUCAUAUCGUGUCACACUGAAUGUUGACCUUGGCUGACCUUACAUCAUGACAUGCUACAGUUGAAGUAAUGUAACAUGAACCAAUGUAUCAUGCGCUUAAUGUUAAUCUGGAGUUAUCAUCUGUGAACAAGGCAAAAAGUUUGGAAAGUUUGUUGUGUGGAUCUGCCCUGUGUUCCUCGGGCAGUCUCUGAGCUGCACGUGUUCGAGCUAACAACCAAAACCAACAGAGGGGAAGAAGAAGGGCGGAAACCAGACAAGUAUUUCUGUAACAGUUAGUUAUAAAGAUCCUGAUCAGUUUAAUGUGGAUCUGAAGAUAAUCUACUAAAGAGGCUCUAUGCCCCUUGACACCGUAGUAACCAGGGCAGGAGCGCGAGCAGGCAGUGGGAGCGCUCGACAGCAUUCGUUGGACUCUUGGGGUUUUUGGUGUAGAAAGCUUCAUAUAUACGUUUCUGAGUACAUUUGUUGUUGAAUGUAUUGCUGAAUAUAUUUAUUGCUAUUACGCUGGUUAAAAAAAGGGUUAAUGGUAGUGUUGGGCCUUAUGAAGUAAUCAUUUUCGUAAUAUUUACUUUAUUCAUGUGCUUGCUCAGCCUUUUGACCCUCUGUGAAAUUGUACCUAAUAUUAUGAGGGUUUAUCUGUGGGGGUUUUUUUCCUAGAAAGACUUUGAGAUAAUUCUGUGCGCUGUUUUGGAAAAUAAUUUGUAA
This 1544-nucleotide long non-coding RNA is filed under the name Struthio camelus australis. RNAcentral describes it as "lncRNA (ENSSCUG00000014219.1)". Lineage: Eukaryota; Metazoa; Chordata; Aves; Struthioniformes; Struthionidae. The record is from RNAcentral.